CUCACCUGACCUAACCAUACCUACAACCUAGUCACCCUACAACUUACCAAUAACCAACCUGCAACCUACAACCUACCAUUCCUACCUAACAAACUAGAUAUGACAGCUCGGGUGACGUCUGCUAAGAGAUUGCCGCAUUGUGUACUUUGUAUCAUUUUGUAAGAAACCUUAUCAGAGUUGGGAAACCAAACAUUUGCUGGACAACAUUUCCAGGGCAAUUUCACUCCACACUUCACACUAGAAAGAAAUGAUGUGUCUGCGUGUGCUCAGAUAGACAAUGAUACGUCAACUAAAGGUAAAUUAUAAAUUAAGACUACAAAUAAAAACUGAGGAAAACAAUAAGAAAGAAAAAGAUAACGUUCUGGUGGCGUUGGUGAAGGUAGACAGGCACAGUGACGGAAGACUGCCCAUCUUGCACCAAUGUAGUGUUUAAACAGUGGCUGGGACUGGCAUGUCUUUGGAAAAUAACACAACUAUAACCCCAAAAUUGCAUUUAACAAAGAAAGUAGUGUGCUUGUGGGAUGAAGGUAACUGCAUGCCGUGCAUGCAGGUGUUCUUAUCCUAAUUUGCCAGUCAUCAGCUUUGCUUUUUUGCCUUCAUUAUCAAUGUUUAACAUCUGGGUUGAGUAUAAAUAAAUUUACUAUUUUAACUGCUUUCCACCCAAUAUUUUAUCAAAAUGUAGGUAUGUGUUGUAUGCUACAUAUACCUAUUUUCCACUUCCCCAUAUAAUUGAAAUUUUCAUGCUUCGCUGGUGGCACUGUGCCACAUAAAUUUUGUGCUACAUUGACACAAUUUUUGUACGCCAUUACAGUCCACUACCACCUUAAAAGUGAAAUUCCAACUUGAACUCUGCCCUCUGUUCCGCCAUCCAACUGGUGGCCUUCAAGCUUGUGAUGGAGUUUCCAAUGUUGGACAUGGCUGAGGCAGCUCUAAACUGAUUGGUCAUUCACACAUGUCCUUGGACAAGCUUCUGCAAAUGACCAUAUGGAAGAUGUCCAUCAUAAGUGACGCUUAUGGGAAAUGAGUUGUACUGCUGGCCAUCUUUGAAUGAAUGUUUUUUUUUUGCAUUCUUUUCAGAGACCGCCCCUCGUUCGGAAGGUGGGAGUCAUUCUGCAAGGCUUUGAAAAGGGGACUCCACAAAAUCUGCCAAGAGUGAGCAUGGAGAUGAUGAUGGACUUCUUCAACAGCAAUAAUUGCUAUAUACAGCCUGGAUGUCAGCACCACAAAGUUGAAAGGUCUAAGGGCGAAAACUACAGUCCCGAUGCCGUCGGAUAUGUGCAGCUGAAGCGUGAAGACUCCGUCUGCACUCUUCACGCCAGAGUGACGCCGGAGACCAAAGUCAGCGCUAAGGCUUACGAGGUGAUCGUAGUCAUAGAUGAGCGGUCUGAGACCAUCAGUAGCGCGCAAUGUCAGGACUGUGUGGCUGCGGCAGGAGGCUGCAAGCACGCUGGAGCAGUCCUGGGUUGGCUGUUCAUGAAAAGUUCCGAAAAGAGUGUGACUAGCACCGAGUCGUACUGGAAGAAGUCCCGCCUAUCCUCGGUACCAGCUGAAAUCAAAAGUGCCGCUAUCGAGGUGCUGCGACCAAAACAACGCAGUAGCACGGCAGGCAGUAGCAGCACCAAAAUGAUAGGUGCAGAUGCGUUGGAGGCCUUCCGCCAGGAAGUUCUGCAAUUAGGAACCGCUGCCAACUCGUCCGGCCUAUUCUUCAAUCACUACGGAGCAGUGUCGCAGGUUCACGAGGUGAGAAGUGUGGGAGUAGAUCGGCUCCUUCAGGCAUAUGUAGCCCACAGUGACGCCGCUGAGCCCCUGUCUGCGCCGGGGUUCUUGGCGUUCUGCAAGGAGAGGAUGUGCUCAGAGUUGUGCGAUCUUGUUGCGGAACAGACCUGUGACCAAAGUCAGUCCUGGCUGUGGCACGCUAUGCGUUUCGGUCGCGUCACCGCCUCUAAGGCCUACGCCGCGGCGCACUGCCAGAAGUUAGAUGGCACUAUCGUGUCUGGUAUCGUCGGCGCUGCAACGCUGAAGGACAGCGCCGCAAUGGAGCGAGGUCGCGUUCUGGAGCCACAGGUGCUAGAUGUAGUGGGGAAUCACCUCGGUGUCGAGUUGCGACGAGCGGGGCUGAUUCUGUCACCCAACUACCCGAUGUUCGGCGCGUCCCCGGAUGGGCUUACUCCAGACGGUAGCGUAGUGGAAGUUAAGUGUCCUGUUGACGAGAAAAACUUUCACAAGUACAUCCUCGCGAACGGUCAAGUUGCUGCUAGAUUCCGCGCGCAACUGCAGAUGUUGAUGACGUUGGCUAGUGCAAAGCGAUCGUUUUUCUGUGUAGCGCACCCAGACUUCGAACGGAGCGGUCGUGUCAGCAUUGUGGAGCUCGAGACCGAUGAGAAGUACAGUGAGGACCUACUCAACCGCUGUGAUAGCUUCUGGAAGGCAGCUGUGUUCCCAGUACUUGUGAAGUCUUAUAGCAGCGUCUGACCUAGUAGCACUCAGCAGACUGUGAUAUGGUGACGGACGGGGACCACUAAUGAACGGCAAUCGUUAGUGUUGUUUGCUCAAACGUUUUUAGUAGAGUGGACUAACCCCGCGUUCGGAGUCUCCCGGACGGCGGAAGAUUCUACACGUACAAUCUGCAUCGUCCGACAGACUCCGAACGCGGGGUAAGUUCAUUGUAGGUUCUUCACUAUUCCUUACACAUCACAAAGGUUGGUGUAAUUAGUUGCGCAGUGUCAUAUGUACAUAAGGGUUGUAACAUUGGGCAGAAUACAGCUUG
This 2767-nucleotide unclassified non-coding RNA is filed under the name Amphibalanus amphitrite. RNAcentral's name for it is "uncharacterized LOC122363763, transcript variant X1". The record is from RNAcentral. Lineage: Eukaryota; Metazoa; Arthropoda; Thecostraca; Balanomorpha; Balanidae.